RNAcentral lists this ribosomal RNA (883 nucleotides) under uncultured bacterium. RNAcentral's name for it is "bacterial SSU rRNA". It matches the Rfam family "Bacterial small subunit ribosomal RNA", at positions 8 to 939 of the family's 1533-position model. The record is from RNAcentral.
AGAGUUUGAUCAUGGCUCAGAACGUACGCUGGCGGCACGCCUUAUACAUGCAAGUCGAACGAAGUAGCAAUACUUAGUGGCAGACGGGUGAGUAACAUGUAGGUAUCUUCCCUUUGGUGAGGAAUAACACGAGGAAACUUGUGCUAAUACCUCAUAAGUCUUUACGGAGAAAGCUUUAUGCGCCGAAGGAUGAGCCUGCACUUGAUUAGUUUGUUGGUAGGGUAAUGGCCUACCAAGACUGUGAUCAAUAGCUGAUCUGAGAGGAUGAUCAGCCACAUUGGGACUGAGACACGGCCCAAACUCCUACGGGAGGCAGCAGUAGGGAAUAUUGCACAAUGGAGGAAACUCUGAUGCAGCGAUGCCGCGUGAGUGAAGAAGGCCUUUGGGUUGUAAAGCUCUUUCGUCGGGGAAGAAAAUGACUGUACCCGAAUAAGAAGGUCCGGCUAACUUCGUGCCAGCAGCCGCGGUAAUACGAAGGGACCUAGCGUAGUUCGGAAUUACUGGGCUUAAAGAGUUCGUAGGUGGUUAAAAAAGUUGGUUGUGAAAUCCCGAAGCUUAACUUCGGAACUGCAAUCAAAACUUUUUAGCUAGAGUUUGAUAGAGGAAAGCAGAAUUUCUAGUGUAGAGGUGAAAUUCGUAGAUAUUAGAAAGAAUACCGAUUGCGAAGGCAGCUUUCUGGAUCAUUACUGACACUGAGGAACGAAAGCAUGGGUAGCGAAGAGGAUUAGAUACCCUCGUAGUCCAUGCUGUAAACGAUGUGUGUUAGACGUUGGAAAUUUAUUUUCAGUGUCGCAGCGAAAGCAGUAAACACACCGCCUGGGGAGUACGACCGCAAGGUUAAAACUCAAAUGAAUUGACGGGGACCCGCACAAGUAGUGGAGCA